This 414-nucleotide long non-coding RNA is filed under the name Brassica napus (rape). RNAcentral's name for it is "long non-coding RNA (BNAP_LNC016159)". The record is from RNAcentral. Lineage: Eukaryota; Viridiplantae; Streptophyta; Magnoliopsida; Brassicales; Brassicaceae.
CUAGUCGAAUGAGCUGGACUCGGUGGUGAAGUUGGUUUUCGCGGUGGAAAGGCUUCUUGAACCUCCUUGGGAGAUGGUGGCGGUGUGUAUGACGACCGAGGAGGUGGCGGUGGGGGUGACGGAGACUUAGCUUUUGGUGGGGUCGGUGGUGACAUGUGGCGGCUCGGCGGUGAAUGAUACGGGAACCGCUCCUGAGUAGGUGGAGGUGGAGGAGUUUGCUGACGUGGAGGCGAAGGAGGUCGUUGCUGACGUGGAGGCGAAGGAGGUUGUUGCUGACGUGGAGGUGACGGUUGUUUCGCCGGUUGUCUGACUACAACCUGACGGCUAGGGGUUUGUCGAGUUUGAGGUGGAGGAGGAGGAGGUGGGUCGCUUGAGCCUUGUGAUGUGGGCCUAGCGAUGCUAGCGAGACGGAAC